AGGGUACAGACCAGACUCCUGUUCCCCGGUUAGGAUCUGAGGGUACAGACCAGACUCCUGUUCCCCGGUUAGGAUCUGAGGGUACAGACCAGACUCCUGUUCCCUGGUUAGGAUCUGGGGGUAGAGACCAGACUCCUGUUCCCUGGUUAGGAUCUGAGGGUAGAGACCAGGCUCCUGUUCCCCGGUUAGGAUCUGAGGGUACAGACCAGACUCCUGUUCCCCGGUUAGGAUCUGGGGGUAGAGACCAGACUCCUGUUCCCUGGUUAGGAUCUGAGGGUGCAGACCAGGCUCCUGUUCCCCGGUUAGGAUCUGAGGGUGCAGACCAGGCUCCUGUUCCCCGGUUAGGAUCUGAGGGUACAGACCAGACUCCUGUUCCCCGGUUAGGAUCUGAGGGUAGAGACCAGGCUCCUGUUCCCCGGUUAGGAUCUGAGGGUACAGACCAGGCUCCUGUUCCCCGGUUAGGAUCUGAGGGUGCAGACCAGGCUCCUGUUCCCCGGUUAGGAUCUGAGGGUACAGACCAGGCUCCUGUUCUCUGGGAACUGGCAUCCCAGCAAGGACAGGUAGUAAACAAAUAAGAACAUUUGAGAACAGUGUGGGGAGGGCCUAACACUGCUGUGUGGUGGUAAGCAGGACACAGGCUACUGUAGACUGGGUGGUUGUGGGGAGGGGGUGGCUAUGGGGAGGUGACAUUGAUCUGAGCCCUGGAUGCCAACAAGGAGCCAGCUGUGCAUGGAUGGAGGUGAGAGCGGCGCCAGGCUGAGCCUGCAGGAGGUCAAGGUGCUGGUGGGAGCUCAUGUGGCUGGGGACAGUGAGCGUGGGCAGAACAGAGGUGGUACUUGUGCCGAAGUAAUUAACUGUGAAGGCCAAAGAUGCCCUCCCUGCAGAGGCCUGCUGGCAAGGUUGGUCCUCAGCUGGGACCUGGGAGCUUUGCUGAUAAAGAGGCCCCCACACUGAUUCACCGAAUGGUAAGAGGGGCUGACCUUGGCCAGGCUGCGUGUGCAAACAAUAGGGUUUAUGCUGAGGCCCUGCUUUCCUUCUGAGAGGCUGGGAUUCUGUACUGUGCCAGGCACAGGUGCUGACAUGACCAGACCCCAGUAAACCCUGGGCGCCGAGUCUCUAGUGAGUGUCCCUCAUAGACAGCUCUCCCAGGUGUUGUCACAUCUCGUCGCUGGGGAAUUAAACGUGCUGUGAGACUCCCUAGGGAGGGGACUCUGGGAGCUUGUGCCUGGUUCCCCUUGUGCCUUUCUCUUUACUGUUUUUGCAGCUUGUCCUUUCACUGUAAUAAAUUGCAGCCUGAGUCCUGGGAGUCUCUGAACCUGGGGAUGGUCCUGGAAUCUCUGACACAGAUGUGGCCAGAGAAGGGAUAGGGCCAGUCCUGCAGGGCCCUUUAGGGAAUAGUGAGGUGCAGUGUGAGGGCUGCAGCGACCCAUGGGCUGCUCAGCCCAGCCUGGGGUGACGGUCUCACUUUCCCUGGGAGGACAGGGUGGGUCCCACCUGCAGACUCUGAGAAGUCCUCACUCAGUCUCCACGUGCACAGGGCCUAGGAGGUGGUCUGGGUGCUGGUGGGCGGCUCUGCCACAUGCCACCCUCACAGUCUUCCCCUGAGUCUGUUCUUUCCUCUUGCUUGUCCUGGGUCUCUCUCGGCAGCACCUUCCUCUGUGUGUGUCAAAUGCUACUGACCUCAUGUACUUCCUGUCUAUUCAGAGACAGGACACGGGGUGGGAAAUUGGUAUCAUUUGCAUGACGCUCACCUCCUGAGGAUGGUGAAGAGCUUGCAGGCAUCAGAGCUAGCCAGGAAGUGAGCAAUUGUAGCAUUUUUAGGAAACUCACUUGGCCCUUUCUGAGUCUGUCUCCUGGUUUUCUUCGUGCCCAGGAUUCAGAGGAUGAUGAGAGGGAUCCUCCCUCGGGCCCUAUGGCCUGGCUUUGAAUUUGGCAUUUUCAAAAAAAGUCUGGACUAACUGAUCAUGAUUCCAGACUCCCGAGAAAGAAGCAGAGAAUGUUCGGGUUUUAGGAGUGGGAUCUGGGAUCCUGGGGGUGUGGGAGUGAGGGUGAGAGCCCCACGGAAGCGCACCCAUGAGCAGGUGGAUAUGGGAGGGCCGGAGCCCCCCAGACCAGGGCUGGCCUUGGGGAAACAGAAGGGGUCAUGGCAUCAGAGAGGAAAGUGCAUCUUAGCUACGAUCUCCCCUGCCCAGAGCCUCCUGCAGAUCCAGGGACCCCUCUCCUGUGUUUGACCAGGGACACUGACAGCUCUGCCUAUGUUGAGAGUCCUCAGAGAGCUUCAACUAGGCCUGUUCCCCCAAGAUCUUUUGUUGUUCAUUUUAAGAAACAACAGACCAUCACUUUAAAAGUAGCACAUUUUGGUGCCUAUUUCUCAGUGAUUGAUCCUUUCAAAUAUGGUUUCCCGGGAUCUAAAGAUUGUAGCUGAAUAAUGCAUGAUAUUUUUGUUUCCCAGAAACAGGUGUUUUGUUUUUAGUGCAUUAGCAUGAUGAGAAAAAGCUGGCUGCAGUUUCUCUGCGCUCUGAAGUGCUGGAACAGUUCUGGGUUUUAUAGGCACCCGUUGCCAGGAGCUGUCGGUGCCAGGCUCUUGGUUUCUUGACAAGGAAGCUCAUGGCCGCGUCUCACCUCCUCUGGGGAGGUACCAGAUCCGUGUGCAGCAGUUUUACACGUCCGUCCAUUUGUUCACCAUUCACUCAUUCUUUCAAUGUUCAUUUCCUGAGGGCUGCUGAGUCCUGGUGCUGGGAUGCACUUCGGGGUUACAGAGACAAAAAGACCAAGUCCCAGCCUUUAGGAAACCUGCAGUCUAUGAGGGAGACAGAGUCUCAGUCAUUGGGCCAGGUGAUGAGGGGUAAACUGAGGCACACACCAGGUGUGAUGGGCUGUGAAGGAUCAAGCCUUGGAGCUCACUUGUGGGUGGGAGGAAGACCCCAAUGAGGAGAGGAGAGAAUCCGUGAGUGACAGGGAGUAGAUGGGGCUCAUCAGGUGGCUGUGUGGUGGGCGGGGACCCCAAGGGGCCUGAACAGAAGUGUGACUACAGUGACUCAGAACUCGGGAGGGGCUGCCCUCGAGCCCCACCUGAUUUACGACCUGGACCCUUUGUGAUUUUGGCUGAAGAGAGACAGUCGACUCCUUUAAAAUAUGGAAUGAAACCCCAGAAGCAGGAACAGGCCAGCGGUGGUUAAUGAGUGAAACAGAUGGGAGUCUUAAUUAGAGCAAGAACAGGGCUAAUUUGACGAUCAGUGCUUCCCUGAGCAUAUGGCCCAGAGAUACUUCCACCCACGCUGAGGGAGACAGUGUGCAGAGUGGGAACGGCCACGUGUGUGGGAAGUGGGGUUUGGAAGGGUUUGUUCCCCUGCCCAUGCCCUCUACUCCACUGCCAGCUUCUACAUUUUGUUGGCUUCUUUUUCGUCCUCUGCCUGUGUCAGAGGGACGGCUUCUCUGAGGAACUGACUUGCAGGGCGUGGCCUCGAACUGACAUGUGGGGAUUUUGCCACACAGCCCUAAGGAAAGCCGAUGAUGACUUAGUGGCUCUCACCACAGGCUUCCGACUGCUACGACCCUGAGUGUGGGCCUGUGAAAAGGGCAGGUGGGAGGGGGAUGCUUGCCAGAGCCACCUCUGACUCCAGGUUAGCUGGGGCCACAUCUCCCAAGAACCCUGGGUGGACUCUCACAAACCCCUCAGGUCAGCAGCCAGCCCUACGGGGCCUGCUUUUUGGAUAAUAGUUCUUUAGGAGGAGCAUAGCACUGGGUCCUGUGCCAUCUGGCAAUAUUGCUCCUUUCCCAUUAAAUCCAGUGGUUCUCAGAGUGGGGUUCCUGGGCCAGCAGCAUCAGCAUCACCUGGAAACUUGGUAGAAAUACACAUUGUUAGUCCUGCUUCCCAGACCUGCUCAGACACUCUGGGGGCAGAACCCAGCAAUCUAUGUUUUAACAAACCCUCUGGGUGAUUCCCAUGCAUGCUGACAUUUAAGACUCUGCUAUAAUAAGCCCUAGGAGAUUUCUUCACACUAAAUGGUGCUUGGAAGGAUCAGUGUAUCCUGACAACAUCCUGUACUCUUUAGAGAAAUGGAACUGGGCACUCUGAGAUUCUGCAUUUUCAUCUUCUGCGAUAAGUGGAACCUUUGGACUCUCCUCAAGUCAUGUCAAUGAGCAGGCUCCUCCUUCAUGGAUGCAAAAUGGCUGCAGCAGCUCCAGACCUCACAUUGCUCAGCUUCAAGUCCACUGGGAAGCCACCUGCCUAGGCCCCAGCAUUCCCUGCAAUCAUCUCAUUGGAUCCCACUGGGUCGGAUUGGGUCACGUGUCCAUCCCUGAGCCAAUCACAGUGGCUGGUGGAAUAAAUGCCCUGAUUGACUUAGG
Macaca mulatta (Rhesus monkey) is the source of this 4350-nucleotide non-coding RNA. Lineage: Eukaryota; Metazoa; Chordata; Mammalia; Primates; Cercopithecidae. The record is from RefSeq and is a predicted model, not a curated record.